CGGCCCGCCAGAGGACCCCUAAACUCUGUUUCUAUAUGUAACUUCUGAGUAAAACCAUAAAUAAAUCAAAACUUUCAACAACGGAUCUCUUGGUUCUGGCAUCGAUGAAGAACGCAGCAAAAUGCGAUAAGUAAUGUGAAUUGCAGAAUUCAGUGAAUCAUCGAAUCUUUGAACGCACAUUGCGCCCGCCAGUAUUCUGGCGGGCAUGCCUGUUCGAGCGUCAUUUCAACCCUCAAGCACAGCUUGGUGUUGGGACUCGCGUUAAUUCGCGUUCCCCAAAUUGAUUGGCGGUCACGUCGAGCUUCCAUAGCGUAGUAGUAAAACCCUCGUUACUGGUAAUCGUCGCGGCCACGCCGUUAAACCCCAACUUCUGAAUGUUGACCUCGGAUCAGGUAGGAAUACCCGCUGAACU
RNAcentral lists this ribosomal RNA (412 nucleotides) under Fusarium oxysporum. Its description in RNAcentral is "eukaryotic LSU rRNA". The stretch from base 70 to 223 matches the Rfam family "5.8S ribosomal RNA". Lineage: Eukaryota; Fungi; Ascomycota; Sordariomycetes; Hypocreales; Nectriaceae. The record is from RNAcentral.